UACAGAGACCUCAAGCGUUAUCCGGAAUCAUUGGGCGUAAAGCGUACCGAUAGGUGGUCAAGAAAGCCAAAAGUGAAAUCUCCGAGCUCAACUCGGAAUCUGUCUUUUGGAACUUCUCAACUAGAGGGGCAAAGAGGAAGCUGGAACGAACGGUGUAGUAGUGAAAUGCGUUGAUAUCGUUCGGAACACCAAUAGCGUAGGCAGGCUUCUGGGUGCCACCUGACACUGCUAGGACGAAAGCGUGGGGAGCGAAUGGG
RNAcentral lists this ribosomal RNA (257 nucleotides) under uncultured bacterium. RNAcentral describes it as "partial 16S ribosomal RNA". It matches the Rfam family "Bacterial small subunit ribosomal RNA", at positions 524 to 776 of the family's 1533-position model. The record is from RNAcentral.